UACGUAGGUGGCAAGCGUUGUCCGGAAUUAUUGGGCGUAAAGCGCGCGCAGGCGGUCCUUUAAGUCUGAUGUGAAAGCCCACGGCUCAACCGUGGAGGGUCAUUGGAAACUGGGGGACUUGAGUGCAGGAGAGAAGAGUGGAAUUCCACGUGUAGCGGUGAAAUGCGUAGAGAUGUGGAGGAACACCAGUGGCGAAGGCGACUCUUUGGCCUGUAACUGACGCUGAGGCGCGGAAAGCAUGGGGAGCGAACAGG
Molecule: ribosomal RNA, 254 nt
Filed under: uncultured bacterium
Lineage: Bacteria
Description: partial 16S ribosomal RNA
Rfam family: Bacterial small subunit ribosomal RNA
Source: RNAcentral